GGUACCCGUAGCUUGCUCUCGGGUGACGAGCGGCGGACGGGUGAGUAAUGUCUGGGAAACUGCCUGAUGGAGGGGGAUAACUACUGGAAACGGUAGCUAAUACCGCAUAACGUCGCAAGACCAAAGUGGGGGACCUUCGGGCCUCAUGCCAUCAGAUGUGCCCAGAUGGGAUUAGCUGGUAGGUGGGGUAACGGCUCACCUAGGCGACGAUCCCUAGCUGGUCUGAGAGGAUGACCAGCCACACUGGAACUGAGACACGGUCCAGACUCCUACGGGAGGCAGCAGUGGGGAAUAUUGCACAAUGGGCGCAAGCCUGAUGCAGCCAUGCCGCGUGUGUGAAGAAGGCCUUCGGGUUGUAAAGCACUUUCAGCGGG
Molecule: ribosomal RNA, 374 nt
Filed under: Klebsiella variicola
Lineage: Bacteria; Pseudomonadati; Pseudomonadota; Gammaproteobacteria; Enterobacterales; Enterobacteriaceae
Description: bacterial SSU rRNA
Rfam family: Bacterial small subunit ribosomal RNA
Source: RNAcentral